RNAcentral lists this transfer RNA (71 nucleotides) under Rattus norvegicus (Norway rat). It matches the Rfam family "tRNA". From Rfam's summary of the family: Transfer RNA (tRNA) molecules are approximately 80 nucleotides in length. Their secondary structure includes four short double-helical elements and three loops (D, anti-codon, and T loops). Lineage: Eukaryota; Metazoa; Chordata; Mammalia; Rodentia; Muridae. The record is from Rfam by way of RNAcentral.
UUGGAUUUAGCUCAGUGGUAGAGCGCUUGCCUAGCAAGCACAAGGCCCUGGGUUCGGUCCCCAGCUCCAAG